Molecule: ribosomal RNA, 500 nt
Filed under: uncultured Myrionecta
Lineage: Eukaryota; Ciliophora; Litostomatea; Cyclotrichida; Mesodiniidae
Description: SSU rRNA
Rfam family: Eukaryotic small subunit ribosomal RNA
Source: RNAcentral
CUGUUCAGACUAGCCAUGCACGUCUAGUACAAACUAAAUGAUGGUGAAACUGCAAAUGGCUCAUUACAACGGUUAUGAUGUACCCGGGAGUUCCGAUGGAUAUUUCCAGUAACACUAGAACUAAUACAUGUCCCUGCGUUUAUUAGUUUCGCACAGUCCGUCGCUGAGUCAUGGUAAACAGUUGAUCGACUCGACGUCCCGGAACAGUUUCCGCCCCAUCAGCUUCGAUGGUUGGGUAUUGGCCUACCAUUGCAACAACGGGUAACGAGGAAUUAGGGUUUGAUUUCGGAGAGGGAGCCUGAGAAACGGCUACCACAUCUACGGAUGGCAGCAGGCGCGCAAAUUACCCAAUGCAGACACUGUGAGGUAGUGACGAGAAAUAAUAAAGCGGGACUUCUGUUUCGCUAUUAUAAUGAGGAAUAACCAAAGGUCAUUCCGAUUAGCAACUGAUGGGAAAGUCUGGUGCCAGCAGCCGCGGUAAUACCAGCGUCAGUAGCAUA